Molecule: ribosomal RNA, 1288 nt
Filed under: Vibrio parahaemolyticus
Lineage: Bacteria; Pseudomonadati; Pseudomonadota; Gammaproteobacteria; Vibrionales; Vibrionaceae
Description: bacterial SSU rRNA
Rfam family: Bacterial small subunit ribosomal RNA
Source: RNAcentral
GGCUCACCAAGGCGACGAUCCCUAGCUGGUCUGAGAGGAUGAUCAGCCACACUGGAACUGAGACACGGUCCAGACUCCUACGGGAGGCAGCAGUGGGGAAUAUUGCACAAUGGGCGCAAGCCUGAUGCAGCCAUGCCGCGUGUGUGAAGAAGGCCUUCGGGUUGUAAAGCACUUUCAGUCGUGAGGAAGGUAGUGUAGUUAAUAGCUGCAUUAUUUGACGUUAGCGACAGAAGAAGCACCGGCUAACUCCGUGCCAGCAGCCGCGGUAAUACGGAGGGUGCGAGCGUUAAUCGGAAUUACUGGGCGUAAAGCGCAUGCAGGUGGUUUGUUAAGUCAGAUGUGAAAGCCCGGGGCUCAACCUCGGAAUUGCAUUUGAAACUGGCAGACUAGAGUACUGUAGAGGGGGGUAGAAUUUCAGGUGUAGCGGUGAAAUGCGUAGAGAUCUGAAGGAAUACCGGUGGCGAAGGCGGCCCCCUGGACAGAUACUGACACUCAGAUGCGAAAGCGUGGGGAGCAAACAGGAUUAGAUACCCUGGUAGUCCACGCCGUAAACGAUGUCUACUUGGAGGUUGUGGCCUUGAGCCGUGGCUUUCGGAGCUAACGCGUUAAGUAGACCGCCUGGGGAGUACGGUCGCAAGAUUAAAACUCAAAUGAAUUGACGGGGGCCCGCACAAGCGGUGGAGCAUGUGGUUUAAUUCGAUGCAACGCGAAGAACCUUACCUACUCUUGACAUCCAGAGAACUUUCCAGAGAUGGAUUGGUGCCUUCGGGAACUCUGAGACAGGUGCUGCAUGGCUGUCGUCAGCUCGUGUUGUGAAAUGUUGGGUUAAGUCCCGCAACGAGCGCAACCCUUAUCCUUGUUUGCCAGCGAGUAAUGUCGGGAACUCCAGGGAGACUGCCGGUGAUAAACCGGAGGAAGGUGGGGACGACGUCAAGUCAUCAUGGCCCUUACGAGUAGGGCUACACACGUGCUACAAUGGCGCAUACAGAGGGCGGCCAACUUGCGAAAGUGAGCGAAUCCCAAAAAGUGCGUCGUAGUCCGGAUUGGAGUCUGCAACUCGACUCCAUGAAGUCGGAAUCGCUAGUAAUCGUGGAUCAGAAUGCCACGGUGAAUACGUUCCCGGGCCUUGUACACACCGCCCGUCACACCAUGGGAGUGGGCUGCAAAAGAAGUAGGUAGUUUAACCUUCGGGGGGACGCUUACCACUUUGUGGUUCAUGACUGGGGUGAAGUCGUAACAAGGUAGCGCUAGGGGAACCUGGCGCUGGAUCACCUCCUUAAACGAUGAU